AUGCCGUUGUCAGUCAUUAACGGA
Molecule: non-coding RNA, 24 nt
Filed under: Arabidopsis thaliana (thale cress)
Lineage: Eukaryota; Viridiplantae; Streptophyta; Magnoliopsida; Brassicales; Brassicaceae
Source: RNAcentral